RNAcentral lists this ribosomal RNA (495 nucleotides) under uncultured bacterium. Its description in RNAcentral is "partial 16S ribosomal RNA". It matches the Rfam family "Bacterial small subunit ribosomal RNA", at positions 28 to 507 of the family's 1533-position model. The record is from RNAcentral.
GACGAACGCUGGCGGCGUGCCUAAUACAUGCAAGUAGAACGCUGAAGGAGGAGCUUGCUUCGCUGCAUGAGUGGCGAACGGGUGAGUAACGCGUAGGUAACCUGCCUGGUAGCGGGGGAUAACUUUUGGAAACGAUAGCUAAUACCGCAUAAUAGUAGCUGUUGCAUGACAUUUGCUGGAAAGGUUCAAUUGCAUGACUACGAGUUGGACCUUCGUUGUAUUAGCUGGUUGGUGGGGCAACGGCGCACCAUGGCGACGAGCCAGCGUGGACCUGUGAGGGGGGUCGGCCCCACUGGGACUGUGACACGCCCCAGACUCCUUGAGGAGGCGGCCAUAGGCCAUCUUGGGCAAUGGACGGAAGUCUGACCGAGCUACGCCGCAUGAGUGUAGAAGGUUUUCGGGUCGUAGAGCUCUGUUGUCGGAGAAGAACGAGUGUGAGAGUGGAACGUACCCUCAGUGACGGUAUUUUGCCAGAAAGCGACGGCUAACUACGUG